GGGCAGCAUUUUAGUUUGCUUGCAAACUGAAGAUGGCGACCGGCGCACGGGUGAGUAACACGUAUCCAACCUGCCGAUAACUCCGGGAUAGCCUUUCGAAAGAAAGAUUAAUACCGGAUGGCAUACGAAUAUCGCAUGAUAUUUUUAUUAAAGAAUUUCGGUUAUCGAUGGGGAUGCGUUCCAUUAGUUUGUUGGCGGGGUAACGGCCCACCAAGACUACGAUGGAUAGGGGUUCUGAGAGGAAGGUCCCCCACAUUGGAACUGAGACACGGUCCAAACUCCUACGGGAGGCAGCAGUGAGGAAUAUUGGUCAAUGGGCGAGAGCCUGAACCAGCCAAGUAGCGUGAAGGAUGAAGGCUCUAUGGGUCGUAAACUUCUUUUAUAUGGGAAUAAAGUUUUCCACGUGUGGAAUUUUGUAUGUACCAUAUGAAUAAGGAUCGGCUAACUCCGUGCCAGCAGCCGCGGUAAUACGGAGGAUCCGAGCGUUAUCCGGAUUUAUUGGGUUUAAAGGGAGCGUAGGUGGAUUGUUAAGUCAGUUGUGAAAGUUUGCGGCUCAACCGUAAAAUUGCAGUUGAAACUGGCAGUCUUGAGUACAGUAGAGGUGGGCGGAAUUCGUGGUGUAGCGGUGAAAUGCUUAGAUAUCACGAAGGACUCCGAUUGCGAAGGCAGCUCACUAGA
Molecule: ribosomal RNA, 678 nt
Filed under: uncultured Bacteroidales bacterium
Lineage: Bacteria; Pseudomonadati; Bacteroidota; Bacteroidia; Bacteroidales
Description: bacterial SSU rRNA
Rfam family: Bacterial small subunit ribosomal RNA
Source: RNAcentral